RNAcentral lists this ribosomal RNA (1442 nucleotides) under uncultured organism. Its description in RNAcentral is "16S ribosomal RNA". It matches the Rfam family "Bacterial small subunit ribosomal RNA". The record is from RNAcentral.
GCUUAACACAUGCAAGUCGAGGGGCAGCAUGGUCUUAGCUUGCUAAGGCCGAUGGCGACCGGCGCACGGGUGAGUAACGCGUAUCCAACCUGCCUUACACUCUUGGACAGCCUUCUGAAAGGGAGAUUAAUACAAGAUGUUAUCAUGAGUAAGCAUUUUCGCAUGAUUAAAGGUUUACCGGUGUAAGAUGGGGAUGCGUUCCAUUAGAUAGUAGGCGGGGUAACGGCCCACCUAGUCUUCGAUGGAUAGGGGUUCUGAGAGGAAGGUCCCCCACAUUGGAACUGAGACACGGUCCAAACUCCUACGGGAGGCAGCAGUGAGGAAUAUUGGUCAAUGGACGAGAGUCUGAACCAGCCAAGUAGCGUGAAGGAUGAAGGUUCUAUGGAUUGUAAACUUCUUUUAUACGGGAAUAAACGGAUCCACGUGUGGAUUUUUGCAUGUACCGUAUGAAUAAGGAUCGGCUAACUCCGUGCCAGCAGCCGCGGUAAUACGGAGGAUCCGAGCGUUAUCCGGAUUUAUUGGGUUUAAAGGGAGCGUAGAUGGGUUGUUAAGUCAGUUGUGAAAGUUUGCGGCUCAACCGUAAAAUUGCAAUUGAUACUGGCAGUCUUGAGUACAGUUGAGGUAGGCGGAAUUCGUGGUGUAGCGGUGAAAUGCUUAGAUAUCACGAAGAACUCCGAUUGCGAAGGCAGCUUACUAACCUGUAACUGACAUUGAUGCUCGAAAGUGUGGGUAUCAAACAGGAUUAGAUACCCUGGUAGUCCACACGGUAAACGAUGAAUACUCGCUGUAGGCGAUAUACAGUCUGCGGCCAAGCGAAAGCAUUAAGUAUUCCACCUGGGGAGUACGCCGGCAACGGUGAAAACUCAAAGGAAUUGACGGGGGCCCGCACAAGCGGAGGAACAUGUGGUUUAAUUCGAUGAUACGCGAGGAACUUUACCCGGGCUUAAAUUGCAUCCGAAUAUGGCGGAAACGCUAUAGCUAGCAAUAGCGGUUGUGAAGGUGCUGCAUGGUUGUCGUCAGCUCGUGCCGUGAGGUGUCGGCUUAAGUGCCAUAACGAGCGCAACCCUUGCCGAUAGUUACUAACAGGUUAUGCUGAGGAGUCUGUCGGGACUGCCAUCGUAAGAUGUGAGGAAGGUGGGGAUGACGUCAAAUCAGCACGGCCCUUACGUCCGGGGCUACACACGUGUUACAAUGGGGGGUACAGAGGGCUGCUACCACGCAAGUGGAUGCCAAUCCCAAAAACCUCUCUCAGUUCGGAUUGAAGUCUGCAACCCGACUUCAUGAAGCUGGAUUCGUUAGUAAUCGCGCAUCAGCCACGGCGCGGUGAAUACGUUCCCGGGCCUUGUACACACCGCCCGUCAAGCCAUGGGAGCCGGGGGUACCUGAAGUGCGUAACCGCAAGGAGCGCCCUAGGGUAAAACUGGUGACUGGGGCUAAGUCGU